This 29-nucleotide non-coding RNA is filed under the name Rattus norvegicus (Norway rat). The record is from RNAcentral. Lineage: Eukaryota; Metazoa; Chordata; Mammalia; Rodentia; Muridae.
UGCCAGCUACAGGUAGUUUCUGCAGCUGU